UACGGAGGGGGCGAGCGUUAUUCGGAAUCAUUGGGCGUAAAGGGCGCGUAGGCGGCCCGGUAAGUCAAAGGUGAAAUCCCUCGGCUCAACUGAGGAACUGCCUUUGAAACUGUCGGGCUUGAGGCCAGGAGGGGGUAGCGGAAUUCCCAGUGUAGCGGUGAAAUGCGUAGAUAUUGGGAGGAACACCAGUGGCGAAGGCGGCUACCUGGACCGGUUCUGACGCUGAUGCGCGAAAGCGUGGGUAGCAAACAGG
This 253-nucleotide ribosomal RNA is filed under the name uncultured bacterium. RNAcentral describes it as "partial 16S ribosomal RNA". It matches the Rfam family "Bacterial small subunit ribosomal RNA", at positions 524 to 776 of the family's 1533-position model. The record is from RNAcentral.